UGGGGAAUAUUGCACAAUGGGCGCAAGCCUGAUGCAGCGACGCCGCGUGAGCGAAGAAGUAUUUCGGUAUGUAAAGCUCUAUCAGCAGGGAAGAAAAUGACGGUACCUGACUAAGAAGCUCCGGCUAAAUACGUGCCAGCAGCCGCGGUAAUACGUAUGGAGCAAGCGUUAUCCGGAAUUACUGGGUGUAAAGGGAGCGUAGACGGAUGUGCAAGUCUGAUGUGAAAGGCGGGGGCUCAACCCCUGGACUGCAUUGGAAACUGUAAAUCUUGAGUGCCGGAGAGGUAAGCGGAAUUCCUAGUGUAGCGGUGAAAUGCGUAGAUAUUAGGAGGAACACCAGUGGCGAAGGCGGCUUACUGGACGGUAACUGACGUUGAGGCUCGAAAGCGUGGGGAGCAAACA
Molecule: ribosomal RNA, 402 nt
Filed under: uncultured Lachnospiraceae bacterium
Lineage: Bacteria; Bacillati; Bacillota; Clostridia; Lachnospirales; Lachnospiraceae
Description: bacterial SSU rRNA
Rfam family: Bacterial small subunit ribosomal RNA
Source: RNAcentral